This 242-nucleotide unclassified non-coding RNA is filed under the name Lecanoromycetes sp. RNAcentral describes it as "partial contains small subunit ribosomal RNA, internal transcribed spacer 1, and 5.8S ribosomal RNA". The stretch from base 1 to 46 matches the Rfam family "Eukaryotic small subunit ribosomal RNA", at positions 1786 to 1831 of the family's 1831-position model. Lineage: Eukaryota; Fungi; Ascomycota; Lecanoromycetes. The record is from RNAcentral.
AAGUCGUAACAAGGUUUCCGUAGGUGAACCUGCGGAAGGAUCAUUAUCGAGUUCGGGUCCUCUGGGCCCAACCUCCAACCCCAUGUUAACUACUCUUGUUGCUUUGGCGGGUCGUGGCUUCUGGCCCCACCGGCCUCCGCUGGUGAGCACCCGUCAGAGACCCAUUAUUAAAUUCUUAACCUGUCAUGUCUGAAAAACAAAAAAUAAGCUAAAAACUUUCAACAACGGAUCUCUUGGUUCUG